UGCCAGCCGCCGCGGUAAUACGAAGGGUGCUAGCGUUGUUCGGAAUUAUUGGGCGUAAAGAGCAUGUAGGCGGACUGUUAAGCUAGAUGUGAAAGCCCCGGGCUCAACCUGGGAUGGUCAUUUAGAACUGGCAGACUAGAGUCUUGGAGAGGGGAGUGGAAUUCCAGGUGUAGCGGUGAAAUGCGUAGAUAUCUGGAGGAACAUCAGUGGCGAAGGCGGCUCCCUGGCCAAAGACUGACGCUCAUGUGCGAAAGUGUGGGUAGCGAACAGGAUUAGAUA
Molecule: ribosomal RNA, 279 nt
Filed under: uncultured bacterium
Lineage: Bacteria
Description: partial 16S ribosomal RNA
Rfam family: Bacterial small subunit ribosomal RNA
Source: RNAcentral